This 368-nucleotide long non-coding RNA is filed under the name Macaca mulatta (Rhesus monkey). RNAcentral's name for it is "lncRNA (ENSMMUG00000060009.1)". The record is from RNAcentral. Lineage: Eukaryota; Metazoa; Chordata; Mammalia; Primates; Cercopithecidae.
AUGAGUGAGGGAACCCAGGAGAAAUUAGCAAAGACAUUCUGGCUUAGGGCUGAACAUGGACUAAUGCCCGUAGCAGGAAAGAACAAUGAUGACAUUCAUGAGUCAGCACUCGCACCGUGCUGCUGCUGUCAAGGCUCAUUAUUUGUUGCUUUCAAGAGAGUUGCUUUUGCCUGCAGCAAAGCCGCUAACACCCACGGAAUAUUUCCCUAGGAUAAACACCAAGAAGUGAAAUUGCCCGGUGAAAGAGGUGAAGCAAAUUUUGACAACCUCAUUUGCAUUUCGACUGUUUUCCCUCCCAGGUGAGAAUGUUUACAAUCCAGCCCUUUUCUCUCCCGUCCUAAUUCUUUUCUCUCUCAUCCUUGUUGGGG